Molecule: small RNA, 2429 nt
Filed under: Pongo abelii (Sumatran orangutan)
Lineage: Eukaryota; Metazoa; Chordata; Mammalia; Primates; Hominidae
Description: retained intron
Source: RNAcentral
UGCCAUGCACGACGUUGACCUGCUCCCUCUCAACGAGGAGCUGGACUAUGGCUUUCCUGAGGCUGGGCCCUUCCACGUGGCCUCCCCGGAGCUCCACCCUCUCUACCACUACAAGACCUAUGUCGGCGGCAUCCUGCUGCUCUCCAAGCAGCACUACCAGCUGGUGAGGCCCGGACAGCCUGCUCUGCUCAGCCGGGAGCUCCCUCCAGGCGGCAGGUGGUGGGAAGGAUGGGGCAGUACCUCUGGGGCCCAGCAGAUGGAGCCCUGCCCUGGCCUAGCAGGAGGACUUAGGAGCAGCAAGAGUGCGAAGAGCAGGCGAGCCAGUCAGCCGCAGCAGCAGAACUGCUUGCAAGCUGGCUUCAGAAACUUGGGUGGUUAGUGGCCCUUAACAUUGAAGAGUGUAGGGGCGGUUCAGGUGCACCUUGCCCACCUCUCAGCCAGUGUCACCAGGACCCUGUUUCUCUGUCCAUCUCCCAGCUCUCCUUCCCUGCACUGGGUUUAUUGGCAAGGUGGUGGUUGUCACUGCAGUCUGUAUCCAUCUAGGCCCCGGUCUGGCGGGAGAUGGGGCCCUUCCCUCCUAGCUCAGGCAGGAGUCCAGCAGUGAGCUGCACUGGCUCUUGAUUGGCCAGCUUGAGUGCUGAGCCCACCCCUUAGCCAGUCACUGGCUGGUGGACGGGCAGGCAGGAAGAACCACGUGGCUCAGGCCUGGGUCUCCUCCUCUCCAGGCCAUGCAGGAGCCACCUUUAUGUAAAUGAAGCCCCUGAGCCAGGUGCAAGAAUGGGUGUCUGUCAUGGAACCCUACUACCCCGCUCACACACACAGGAAGAGAUGAGGGCAGGGCCACGAGGAGAAAGGGGAAUGGGGGAAGCAGAAAUCAAGUAGGAGCUGGUGCUUCUGCCCAUCGACAGUUCCCCAAAGAGAUCCCCUCUGGCCAGCCAGACAUUUUUGAGAAGGUGAGCAUCUCACACAGAUUCAAGGCCCCAUGAGAACAGGAGAGGGACUGGGAUGUGCUGCUUCCUGCCGCCCCCAGCAUUGCAGAGGUGGAGGAGCCUGUAAGCACCUGGGGCUUAUUCAGAACCGCCAGGGGAGAGGGGCACUCCCGAGUGGUAGGAGACCAAAGGCCCCCCCCGGGAAGAUGGGCCGAGUGACGCUGCUUGUCUCUGUGUCAGUGCAAUGGGAUGUCCAACCGCUUCUGGGGCUGGGGCCGCGAGGACGACGAGUUCUACCGUCGCAUUAAAGGAGCUGGGCUCCAGGUGAGGUUCCCCAGGGCCCUGCUGCCACCUCAGCUGUGGUGGCUGCCCUGAGAUUUUCUUCUGUUUCCUCAGAUGAAGCUCCCGGGGUCUGGAGAUGGCCGAUUCUGAUCCCUGCCCUAACCCUGCCCUGCAUGGUCUUUUAGCCAGUUCCUUGCCCUGUGGGCCCCAGUGUCCUCUCCUGCAGGCUGGGAGUGCAGGCCCCUUCCUGUGAGACCUCAGGGCAGCUGGUGGUGAGGGCUGGGGCUCCAGGAAGGGCAGCCUGACCCCAGCUUCCUUGGACCUCCCUAGCUUUUCCGCCCCUCGGGAAUCACAACUGGGUAUAAGACGUUUCGCCACCUGCAUGACCCAGCCUGGCGGAAGAGGGACCAGAAGCGCAUCGCGGCUCAAAAACAGGAGCAGUUCAAGGUGGACAGGGAGGGAGGCCUGAACACUGUGAAGUACCAUGUGGCUUCCCGCACUGCCCUGUCUGUGGGCGGGGCCCCCUGCACUGUCCUCAACAUCAUGUUGGACUGUGACAAGACCGCCACACCCUGGUGCACAUUCAGCUGAGUUGGAUGGACAGUGAGGAAGCCUGUACCGACAGUCCACAUGGCUCAGGCUCAGGACAAGGCGUCAGGUCGCAGGCCCAGCUCUGACAGGAUGUGGAGUGGCCAGGACCAAGACAGCAAGCUACGCAAUUGCAGCCACCCGGCCUCCAAGGCAGGCUUGGGCUGGGCCAGGACACGUGGGGUGCCUGGGACGCUGCUUGCCAUGCACAGUGAUCAGAGAGAGGCUGGAGUGUGUCCUGGCCGGGACCCCCCCGCCUUCCUGCUCACCCUACUCUGACCUCCUUCACGUGCCAAGGCCUGUGAGUGGGGAGGGCUGAACAGGACCACCUCUCAUCAACCCCACUUUUGUUCCUUCCUGCUGGGCUGCCUCGUGCAGAGACACAGCGUAGGGGCCAUGCAGCUGGCGUAGGUGGCAGUUGGGCCUGGGAGGGUUAGAACUUCAGAAACCAGAGCACAAGCCCCACAGAGGGGAACAGCCAGCACCGCUCUAGCUGGUUGUUGCCGUGCCGGAAUGUGGGCCUAGUGUUGCCAGAUCUUCUGAGUUUUCGAAAGAAACUAGAAUGCUGGAUUCUUAAGUGAUAUCUUCUGAUUUUUUAAAUGAUAGCACCUAAAUGAAACAUUCAAAAAG